AUGACGCAACAAUCCUGUCCGUCCAGCUCAAACAGCGACGCAAGCGACGGGUGUGAGAAGAUGAAGAGCGGCAAGCUCGACGAUCGACUCAAGGUCUUCGCUGCAAUCCCCCGCAAAAAAACAAAUAAAAGAAUUGAGAUAAUUAAGGUGUGGUGCCUUGGCCUGCUGAGCAUCCAACUCACACACUUCCAGAGCUCUCACACACCGCCGCCCCGGCAGAACCGCACGUUGGAGGGAAGGUCGAUCGUCGUGCUCUGCGCUCCGGCCGAUCGAGCAGAGGCAAUAUUCCUAGACCUGCCUGAUGUGUGCUUGGCGAUCCCUGAAAUUCAGCAGCACACUUGUGCUAACGACACUCUUACUGUUAUUCAGAAGGCACACCCAGGGCGCGUUACGGUGUUGGACCUGCAGGAUAUGAGCUUGGCAGGCCAAAUCACUCCCUCUCUUGGAAACCUAACCUCUCUUAGAAAACUUACGCUAGAUUCAAAUCGCUUGUCUGGACAAUUGCCCCCUCUCAACCGUCUUACAAGAUUAGAGGAGCUUUCUCUAGGCACCAACUUGCUGCAGGGGGACAUUCCAGAUGCACUUACAAACUGUAGCAAACUCAAGUCGCUAAACCUCGCUCUUAACAUGCUAGUGGGUUCAAUUCCCGAAAACAUAGGUUUCCUCACCAAUCUAGUAGUUAUGGACCUUUCCGGAAAUAAUUUGUCAGGAAUCAUUCCCCAAACCUUCAGCAACAUAAGUCGUUUAAGAGAAAUGUCACUUGCAGACAACCUGCUCGUGGGAAGCAUUCCUAAAGAGCUUGGGCAAUUGACAGAUAUUUCGAUUGUGUUCCUUGGUGGAAACAGCCUAUCAAGUAGCGUUCCUGCGACACUGUUUAAUCUGUCCUACCUUCAAAUACUAGACUUGGAUACAAAUAUGUUAAGUGGCACACUGCCAUCUGACGUUGGUCAUAUGCUCCCUAACCUCCAAUUUCUUUUCUUGGGUGAAAACAAGCUUGACGGCCACAUCCCAGAUUCAUUAGGCAAUGCUUCAGAGCUGGGCCAGUUUGAUGGUCUUAUGCCAGCCAACCUAGGAAAUUUGUCACAACUCACACAGUUGGAUCUUAGUUACAACAAUAUCCAAGGCAACAUACCUCUACAGAUUUCUAGGCUUAAACAACUCAUGGAACUACACCUUUCAUCGAACAAGCGUACUGGGGAAAUACCUAGUAAUUUGGAUCAAUGUGACAAUUUGAUAACUAUCCAGAUCGACCAGAACAUGCUAAUAGGGGAAAUCCCAACAUCUUUUGGCAAUCUAAUAGCCUUGAACGUGCUUAAUCUUUCUCAGAAUAACUUGUCGGGCACCGUCCCAGCAACUCUAAGUGACUUACAACUCCUCAGCAAUUGGGGACUGUGUGGAGGGGUGGCAGAUCUCCAAAUGCCGUUAUGUUCUGCUAUUUCUCAGAGAUCAGAGACAGAGUACUAUUUGAUCCCCGCAGCUAGGAUUUACAACCUCCCAACCGCGAGGAUGUAUACCCUCAUCUGCUCCUCAGACAGCCCUCCGGGAGGCGGUCGAACAGCCCCCCCGGACGGUGUCACGGACAGCCCUUCGGGAGGACCUUCGAAACUCGAACGGUCACUCGGACAGCCCUUCGGGAGGACCUUCGAAACUCGGACGGUCACACGGACAGCCCUUCGGGAGGCACUCACGAACUAA
RNAcentral lists this ribosomal RNA (1695 nucleotides) under Triticum aestivum (bread wheat). Its description in RNAcentral is "partial small subunit ribosomal RNA". The record is from RNAcentral. Lineage: Eukaryota; Viridiplantae; Streptophyta; Magnoliopsida; Poales; Poaceae.